UAAUUGUAAGAAUAUUGAUGUCAACAGUACUUAAUUUUUAAAGUGCCUAAAGUAAGUUUUUUUGUACAGAUUACCAAAUAACGUGUAAAUAACACAAUCCAAUGGCAUCAGUUCAUGGCUUAGAUAAACUACACCAAGCAAUUACAGAAGCUUUGGAAUUUGAAAAAUGCUGUAUAUGUUUGGAAAAGCUGCAAAAAUGCGUGAUUCUCUGGCCAUGUUCACACCGAUUUUGCAACGACUGCAUCUUGGCUUAUCUUGUGAGCGUUCAUGGUGACAAGAUACCUUGUCCCUUGUGUAAGAGGCUAACUACUCGGCGAAGUAUUCUAAAUUUUCAAGACAGGCAACAGGAAUUUGAAGACAGUUUACAAACUCUUAUAGGAAACAUCAGUCUUGAUCUUGGAUUUGAUAUUACAAGCGUCCAACCAUUUAAAAAAAACUAAAGUAACAUCUGAUGACAAAAAUAAAAUCAGAGUACCAUCACCUGUGAGGAGAACCAGGAGUAAAUCUUCAAGAAACAUUCAUAAUGAGCAGAAAACUAAUACAAUCAAUUGUGGGAAUAAAAGAUCCACUGAAAGUCCAGUCAAUGCACAGGAUCUUAAGUCACAAAAUAUUUCACUGUGUUCAGUGACAUUGCAUGAUGUUAUUAAAAACAUGAGUCCACAAAGUGAAAAAGUUAAUCAAUGGCUAAACAGUACACACUUCUCUCAGGGGGAAUCACCAAACAUAUCAAACACUGUAGUAGCAGAUGUUCACGAAUCUGAUUUGGAGUCUCCUAUGUUCUCAGACGAUCAGUUAGUCUCGGUAUCUCAAGUUGAAUCGAAAACUAUAAAGAAAUCCUGCAAAAAGAUACAGAAAUCUCUUAAUGUUUCUUCUGAUAUUAAUGCAAUAAAGCCUUUUGAUGAAACAUACAAAAGCAAAAGACUUAAAAAAUCUUUUCAAGACAAAAGUAAUGAAGAGAGUUACAAAAGUGAAAAGUUUGAUCAACUUUUAUGUUCAGAGAAAAAAUAUCAAAUUAUUUCAGAAACGUAUCAAGGUAGGAACUUGCGUGAGAGAAAGUGUACAAGAGGAAGACGUUUUGAUAUAGAUACUAAUUUAUUUAAGCCUGACGAAAACAACACUGAAAAAGGCAAAAUGUCGGAUUCUGAUAAGCAUGAAGAUUCAUCAGAGAAAUCUUUGGAAGAUUUUUCUUCAGGAAGUGGAGAGGAAUGGGAUGCUGAAGAAGAAUCAAAUAAAGGUCUUUCAAGUAAAAAUAAGAUUUUAAAAAAUAUUAAAAGAUUAACGAAAUCUAAGGACAAAAGUAAUGGUUCGGAAAAUCAAGUUUUAAAAAGAGUAAAUAAGAAUAACAUGAAAAUCGCUAAAAAUCAAAAAGCUAAAACAUUGUUAACAACUAACAAAUGUCUGGUGAAUUUUCUAAAUAAUAAUAAUGAAAAAGACAAGUUAAAUAAGGGCAAAAUAAACAGUUCCACCAACAAUUAUAACAAAACUGAGAAUGAUUCAACAAAAAGUGAUGAAACUGUCAAAAGAAUUAUAGAUGAUUGGGAUGACUAUAAACGCACAAACAUCUUAAACAUGCCUUCUCUUAAUGAGGUUCAAUCUAGAAAUGUAAGAACACAUGUACAAUCUAACACUUCAGUGGAGCUUACGCCUGUUAAACAAGAUAAUCAACGCUCUCCUGGUUGGUCACGACUAAAAAAUACAAAGAAAGAAUUCCAUAUGUCUGAGAGAAAAAAAACUUAGUUUGAAAACCCUAAGUAAGUCCAAUUCUACAAUAUCCACUAAUAAAGCCUCACCAUUAAAUAAAGGUAACAAUAGUUUUGACGAUAUAAAUCAGUCUUUUAAUGACAGAAAAGAAAAUAAAGUCAGUGAUCCUUUAAUUUCUCAAUGUAAGGGACUUUUAAACAAGGUAGAAAAAGAAGAUGUAAUGCUUAAAGAACAAACAACCACCAUUUCCUCAGCAGUUGAUGAAACAUUUCCAAAAAUAAAUAGUGACGAAAGUAAAUCACUUUCAAAUUCAGAUUCUUUAUUCAAGGGAUUUUCAACUCAAGAACAAAAUAAGUCAGAUUUGAAAAAAUUGGAAAUGUUAAAUGUAGAAAAAUGUGGUGAAGCACCAAUAACAAAUAAAACGACUGUUCUUUCAGAAAAUAUGCAUUCCCAAGUUCAACUUUCUACUGGCUUAGUCAGUCAGGAAAAUUUGGAAAAUGACUUGCAUAAUGCUAAUUCCAAAACUUCAUUCAUGGAAGUAGAUGCAGAACAAGAUUAUAGAAUUGAAGUACGGUCUCCAAAAAUCAGUGGACAAAAAAAUUGUGUUACUGAUAAAAAAUUAGAACUAGCAAUUAAUAGCAGCUGUAGAAAUUCAAAUGGAGAAACUGAGCGUAAAAUUGUAUGUGUUAAUAAUGAGCAAAUCAAUCAACAAAUUAAAAUGAUGAAAAGAGAUAGAGAUCCUGACUUACACAAUAGCAGUUCAUCAAUUUGUUCACCUGAGCGGAAAAAAGAAAGUGUCAAGAUGCAGGAGUGCAGACCAGUCCUGGUCGAAUGCAAUCCCUAAUUCAAGAUAUCCUCAAAAAUAUAUGGGGAAUAGAGGCUGAACAAAAACUAGCUAUAAUUUGCAAUGGAAGCAAUAGAAAGUUGCAUUUUGAUGAAGAUAAUUUGCAGUCGACAUCUUCUAAUGUUCAGAAUAAAUCAUGUGGUAAAGGUGAUGAGGAAUUGAACACUAUGACUCAAUAUGCAAGAAAUUCAAAUGAAAAUCUUAGUUAUUCCAAGAAAUGUCAAAAUGAUUCAGACUUUGUCUUAGGGACCGAAAACAUAAAUUUUUCUUUAAGUAACAUUUUGAAUAAACAUUGUAAUAAAGAAGCACGUGAAAUUGGAAGUGCUAUGGAUAGUUCCAACAUUCUGAAAGAGAAGAGUAAUAAUGAUGUUGAGGUUGAUCCUGAUGCUCCCACCCAACCAUACAAGACUCCUGUUGUACCCAAGCGGCCUUUUGUAACUUCCACUUCAAACGUGUAUUCGGCUGUGUCAAACCCUACAGAAAGUGAGUUGAAAAGAGUAAAUGAAAUAUUUAAAAAUAAUGAUGUAUUAUUCCCUGACGCUACUCCAAUAAAAGCAACACCAUUGAACUGUUCAGGCAUUGGUCAGUUAGAAUCUUUUACUACAAAUUUGAACAAGCACCUUGACAGCUUCAGUCAUUUACCAUCGAAAGCUUGUAAAGAAAAAUCGAAUAAGAGUAGACGACAGUUGGAUUUUCUUGUUGAUGAUAAUACCAAUUCCAAUGAUAUGUUUACUGCAGAGCAUUUGGAAGAGAUGCCUGGUAAAACAAAACCAAAACCCACAAAAGAUUCACAAAACCGCAAUACACACAAUAGUGAAAUUAUUUCAAUAGUUAAUGACUCGAAAAAAGAAAGCCUUUGUAUAUCGAUGGACAAAGAAAAUGUCAAUGAUAAUAUAACUGAAAAUGUUUCAUUAAAUAGUGAUUCUAUCAUAUUAAAAGAGGAUGACAAAUUGUUCACCAAACAAACAAAAUAUGACAUUACCAAGUUAAGUCAAGAUCAAGUAAUAUCUUCACAGGUGAAUGAUUUAAUGAAGUGUAAUGAGACUUUGACUGAAACCCCAGAUAUUAUACUUCCUACUGAAGAGCAAGAAUGUUCUAAAAACCCUGAAUUAAAAGUCACAAGAGGCCAGGUUACUCUCACAUAUAAAAAAAAAAGAGCAAGAAUGUUCUAGGAACCCUAAAUUAAAAGUCACAAGAGGCCAGGUUACCAUCACAUAUAAAAACAAAGGCUCUCAAAGACAUGUCCUCUCAUCACCUAUGGAAAACUCAAAUAACGAGGAAGAACUGGACAAUAACAAAAAAGACUCGAAUGUUGAUUCACCUACAUUUAGUCUAGGACAGUUAGUUGAACAUCAGGUUACAAACCGUUUACAAAAAGCAAUAGUUGAAAGUACAGAUAAACUAGACAAAGACCACAGAUAUGAGUUGCAGUACAACAAUUCGUUGGUAGCUUCUAAUAAACCUGAAUCAACAGUGGAUCUUCAAGGAUGUCAAGAUGAAGAACAAACUCCGAAACAUAACUUAAACAUGUUGGAUGAUGGACCUAUGUCCC
Homalodisca vitripennis (glassy-winged sharpshooter) is the source of this 4097-nucleotide RNA transcript. It is a transcript of the gene named E3 ubiquitin-protein ligase RING2-B-like, with no coding region annotated. The record is from RefSeq and is a predicted model, not a curated record. Lineage: Eukaryota; Metazoa; Arthropoda; Insecta; Hemiptera; Cicadellidae. The transcript has 5 exons.